UGGUGCCUAGCAUCAACUGUCCAACUGUCUAAAAAACAGUUAUUAGCAAGAGCCGGGUAAGACCGGUGCCAGCCGCCGCGGUAACACCGGCGGCUCGAGUGGUGACCGCUAUUAUUGGGUCUAAAGGGUUCGUAGCCGGCUUAAUAAGUUCUUUGGGAAAUCUGGCGGCUUAACCGUCAGGCUGCCGAAGGAUACUGUUAGGCUUGAGACCGGGAGGGGCUAGAGGUACUUCAGGGGUAGGGGUGAAAUCCUGUGAUCCCUGUGAGACCACCAGUGGCGAAGGCGUCUAGCUAGAACGGGUCUGACGGUGAUGAACGAAAGCUAGGGGCACGAACCGGAUUAGAUACCCGGGUAGUCCUAGCCGUAAACGAUGCGAGCUAGGUGUCACGGUAGCUGCGAGCUACUGUGGUGCCGUAGGGUAGCCAUGAAGCUCGCCACCUGGGAAGUACGCCGCAAGGC
Molecule: ribosomal RNA, 459 nt
Filed under: uncultured archaeon
Lineage: Archaea
Description: bacterial SSU rRNA
Rfam family: Archaeal small subunit ribosomal RNA
Source: RNAcentral